RNAcentral lists this non-coding RNA (21 nucleotides) under Caenorhabditis elegans. Lineage: Eukaryota; Metazoa; Nematoda; Chromadorea; Rhabditida; Rhabditidae. The record is from RNAcentral.
UAGACGUACUGAAGAAAAACU